Molecule: ribosomal RNA, 340 nt
Filed under: uncultured bacterium
Lineage: Bacteria
Description: bacterial SSU rRNA
Rfam family: Bacterial small subunit ribosomal RNA
Source: RNAcentral
AAAACAGCCCUACGGGAGGCAGCAGUCGAGAAUUUUUCACAAUGGGGGAAACCCUGAUGGAGCGACGCCGCGUGGAGGAUGAAGGCCCUUGGGUCGUAAACUCCUGUCAUGCGGGAACAAGAAAGUGAUAGUACCGCAAGAGGAAGAGACGGCUAACUCUGUGCCAGCAGCCGCGGUAAUACAGAGGUCUCGAGCGUUGUUCGGAUUCAUUGGGCGUAAAGGGUGCGUAGGUGGCGAUGUAAGUCUGGUGUGAAAUCUCGGGGCUCAACCUCGAAAUUGCAUCGGAUACUGCGUUGCUAGAGGAUUGUAGAGGAGAGUGGAAUUCACGGUGUAGCAGUGA